This 1216-nucleotide ribosomal RNA is filed under the name metagenome. RNAcentral describes it as "SSU rRNA". It matches the Rfam family "Eukaryotic small subunit ribosomal RNA", at positions 1 to 1184 of the family's 1831-position model. The record is from RNAcentral.
UCUGGUUGAUCCUGCCAGUAGUGAUAUGCUUGUUUCAAAGAUUAAGCCAUGCAUGUCUAAGUAUAAGCGAACUUAUACAGUGAAACUGCGGAUGGCUCAUUAAAACAGUUUGAAUUUAUUUGAUGAAUGUAUGAGAAUACUACUUGGAUAACCGUAGUAAUUCUAGAGCUAUACAUGCAACGACGCCCGACCGUUUCACUACGGAAGGGCUGUAUUUAUUGGAUACCAAAACCAUCCUUCCCUCGGGAAGUCUUGUUUGAUGAUUCACAAUAACUGAUCGGAUCUCCACUGUGGUGGCGACAGGUCAUUCAACAUUCUGCCCUAUCAGCUUUCGAUGGUUGUGUAGUGGACAACCAUGGCCAUAACGGGUAACGGAGAAUCAGGGUUCGAUUCCGGAGAAGGAACUUGAGAAUUGGCUACUACAUCUAAGGAAGGCAGCAGGCGCGCAAAUUACCCAAUCCCGAUUCGGGGAGGUAGUGACAAAAAAUAACAAUACCGGGCCUUUUUGGGCUUGGUAAUUGGAAUGAGGGAGAGUUAAACGGACCAUCGAGUAUCCAUUGGAGGGCAAGUCUGGUGCCAGCAGCUGCGGUAAUACCAGCUCCAAUAGCGUAUAUUAAAGUUGUUGCAGUUAAAAAGCUCGUAGUUGGACUUGUGUGCGCUGUCCGCGGGUGGCCUGCGCCCAAAAGGGCGUUUCGGUUCGGCCCCGGUGGCGCCUUGAAAUCUGCAGCUGGGGGGACGUUGGCCUUAACUGGUCGGCGACCGCACGCCGGCUGCUCGGUUACUGUGAGAAAAUUAGAGUGUUCAAGGCAGGCAUUGGGUGCAAUUGAAUACAUUAGCAUGGAAUAAUAAAAUAUGGCUCCUGCCGUAUUUUGUUGGUUUUGACUGGUGGGAGUAAUGAUUGAUAGGGACGGUUGGGGGUGCUAGUAUUGAGCGGCCGGAGGUGAAAUUCAUGGAUUCGCUCAAGACUAACUUAUGCGAAAGCAUUCACCAAGGACGUCCUCUUUAAUCAAGAACGAAAGUUGGGGGAUCGAAGACGAUCAGAUACCGUCGUAGUCUCAACCAUAAACUAUGACGACUUGGGAUCGGCGGUAGUUUUUUCAUUAAGACACUGUCGGGACCACGGGAGAAAUCAAAGUGUCUGGACUCUGGGGGAAGUAUGGUCGCAAGGCUGAAACUUGAAGGAAUUGACGGAAGGGCACCACCAGGAGUGGAGCCU